CAUUGUAUUUGUGACUAAUAAUUAUGAUCACUACUUACGUGAUUUGUAUCUAUCUAUCUAUCUAAAUUCUUGAGCUCCUUGUGAGACGAGGGAGUUAAUUAUUUUACUUGAGUGAUACAUUCAACACUUCUCUUGGAGUAAUUACAUUGAAAAUGAGCAAUACUUUCCGCACUUCUUCAUGAAUUACACCUACUAAUUCUUCCUUUUUUUUUUUUUUUAAUGACAGAGGGGCUAGCUGCUUUAUUGGUGGAAGCUGCAGAGUGGGUGAUUGCCAUUUAAGAGUUGAGUUCUGUAGCAUUUCCAGCAAUUUGUUUAAUUUGCUUGGUAGAAAAUAUGACUGGUCCACUGGAAUUUAUAGUGCGCCACCAGUGUUCUAUCACUGAUUUCUGAAUUCAUAUGGGGGUGAUCAUACUCUGUUAAAAUUAGCAGUUAAGAUUGAGCCAGAAUAUGGAUUGAAUGAGACUGCAUGUGUUCUGGUGGUAGCUUGCUUGCAGCUACUUUUGAGGUAACUUCCAAAUUUAAUGAAUUAUUCCAAUAUAUUAAAGCUCUUCUUCCAUUCGGAUGGUAAGUAUAGAUUAGCUUCUACGGGGAAUACUUCAUUUUUUAUUGUAUUGUUUUCAUACGCAAACAUUUAGGGAGGAGUACAUGAAAUCAAACACAGUUGUAACUCUGUUGGAAGGUUAGGUGUGUGCAGUGAAGUCGCAGAAACUACUUGCUUUCCAUCCGUGGGAUUAUUUGAGGCUCGAAAGAAAAGAGUAAGAGUGUGGCAGAAACUAAACUUUUAGAUGUUGCAAAGCUUUUAUCU
Lycium ferocissimum is the source of this 805-nucleotide long non-coding RNA. RefSeq lists it as uncharacterized. The record is from RefSeq and is a predicted model, not a curated record. The transcript has 3 exons. Lineage: Eukaryota; Viridiplantae; Streptophyta; Magnoliopsida; Solanales; Solanaceae.